RNAcentral lists this ribosomal RNA (503 nucleotides) under uncultured bacterium. RNAcentral describes it as "partial 16S ribosomal RNA". It matches the Rfam family "Bacterial small subunit ribosomal RNA", at positions 30 to 523 of the family's 1533-position model. The record is from RNAcentral.
AUUGAACGCUGGCGGCAGGCUUAACACAUGCAAGUCGAGCGGGGUGAUGGUGCUUGCACUAUCACUUAGCGGCGGACGGGUGAGUAAUGCUUAGGAAUCUGCCUAUUAGUGGGGGACAACAUCUCGAAAGGGAUGCUAAUACCGCAUACGUCCUACGGGAGAAAGCAGGGGAUCACUUGUGACCUUGCGCUAAUAGAUGAGCCUAAGUCGGAUUAGCUAGUUGGUGGGGUAAGGGCCUACCAAGGCGACGGUCUGUAGCGGGUCUGAGAGGAUGAUCCGCCACACUGGGACUGAGACACGGCCCAGACUCCUACGGGAGGCAGCAGUGGGGAAUAUUGGACAAUGGGGGGAACCCUGAUCCAGCCAUGCCGCGUGUGUGAAGAAGGCCUUAUGGUUGUAAAGCACUUUAAGCGAGGAGGAGGCUCUUUUGGUUAAUACCCAAGAUGAGUGGACGUUACUCGCAGAAUAAGCACCGGCUAACUCUGUGCCAGCCGCCGCGGUAA